UACAGGAGGUGGCAAGCGUUGUUCGGAAUUACUGGGCGUAAAGGGCGAGUAGGCGGCCUUCUAAGUCAGACGUGGAAAUCCCCCGGCUUAACCCUGGGAACUCGCGUCUGAUACUGGGAGGCGUUGAGUAUGGGGAGAGGGAUGUAGAAUUCCAGGUGUAGCGGUGAAAUGCGUAGAUAUCUGGAGGAAUACCGGUGGCGAAGGCGGCAUCCUGGACCAUUACUGACGCUGAAUCGCGAAAGCUAGGGGAGCAAACGGG
Molecule: ribosomal RNA, 259 nt
Filed under: uncultured bacterium
Lineage: Bacteria
Description: partial 16S ribosomal RNA
Rfam family: Bacterial small subunit ribosomal RNA
Source: RNAcentral